AGCCAGUUCAAUUACCACUGCCUACUACAGGGGAGCAAUGGGCAUCUUACUUGUGUAUGAUGUCACAGACGAGUCAUCUUUCAAUAACAUAAGAAAUUGGAUCAGAAACAUU
This is a long non-coding RNA of Zea mays, 112 nucleotides long. RefSeq lists it as uncharacterized. The transcript has 3 exons. Lineage: Eukaryota; Viridiplantae; Streptophyta; Magnoliopsida; Poales; Poaceae. The record is from RefSeq and is a predicted model, not a curated record.